This is a long non-coding RNA of Lutra lutra (Eurasian river otter), 1019 nucleotides long. RefSeq lists it as uncharacterized. The transcript is spliced from 6 exons. The record is from RefSeq and is a predicted model, not a curated record. NCBI's taxonomy places the organism in Eukaryota, Metazoa, Chordata, Mammalia, Carnivora, Mustelidae.
UGGUGUUUAUACCAAAUACUGGAUCUCUUGUAUAUAACCCAGAAUACAUAGAAGAAAAUCUUACUUGCAUCCAUGGAAUAGACAUCCCUAUGAAGCUACUCUCUGAUGAAGUUGGUGGCGCUGUGGAGGAGGACCGCCGUCUCCUGGACGAGGACCGGGACCGCUCGGCAUUGUAGGUGACGUGCUUGUCAUAGCUCUCCAUCUGAGCCUCGAUGAAAUCUCUCUGCUGUUGCCUGAUGGUCUGGCUGAUGAGCCCAGGGAGGGCAUGGAUGCUCCCAAUCAGAGUCUCUAGCUUGGUCUCCACAUUUCUUUUAUCAUUUGGCCUUGGAGUGAUGUAAGAGUCUGCCCCAUCUUUGUUCAAGACAUGUCCACCUAAGAGCUGUGUGUGUAAAUUGAGAACAUUUUUGAGCCUUAUGCGUGCUCCUCACCUUCAGUACAUGAUAUAUCCUCCCCCAGGGAGUUAAGUAAUAGGAGAGGCGGCAGGUGAAUGACCCGAGUUUGCAGAACCAGAUCGGAAGCCUCCAGCAACUGGCUGACACUGAGCAGCCCUAUUUGAGUGGAAUCCCCUGAGCUCCUUGCACUUAAGUCAUCUCGUCUUGCUGCUCCUGAGACUGCCUGCACCGUAGAGCUGGCAGAAAAAAGCCUACUUCGAGCUGCAGCUGCCAGGAUAAAAGGCAGGAAAAGAUCAUGAUUUUGGAUCACAUUUCCAUAGCAGCAAUCAGACUACUGAAAUUCACAAAUAAAGGAUCCGCUUGGGUGCAUGCAGCCGGUAGAAAAUUCUGCAAAUGUUGAGGGGAGCGGCUCACACAACUUACUUCCGAGCUCUAUUUUCAUUUUGUUGAAAUAAAAAGACAAAACAAAAGAAAAGAAACUGUAAAAUAUUCUGGAACAGAAUAACACAGCGUGGUGUUCAGUUGUGCACAGGGGGCUCGAUUCAUUGGCGGAAAGAUCCUGUUAAGGUUCUGCAGAAUUUUGGCACAGUGAUCACAGCAAAACACUGUCCAAUUACAUUAGCGUCC